RNAcentral lists this small nuclear RNA (105 nucleotides) under Notamacropus eugenii (tammar wallaby). The record is from RNAcentral. Lineage: Eukaryota; Metazoa; Chordata; Mammalia; Diprotodontia; Macropodidae.
AUGCUAACUUUGUCAGCACAUAGGCUAAAAUUGGAAUGAUACAGAAAAGAUGCAGGAAUCUUGCACAGGCAUGACAUGCAAAUUCAUGAAGCAUUCCAUAGUUCU